AUACGGAGGGAGCGAGCGUUAAUCGGAAUUACUGGGCGUAAAGCGCGCGUAGGCGGCUUUGUAAGUCGGAUGUGAAAGCCCUGGGCUCAACCUGGGAAUUGCAUUCGAUACUGCAGAGCUAGAGUAUGGUAGAGGGAAGUGGAAUUUCCGGUGUAGCGGUGAAAUGCGUAGAUAUCGGGAGGAAUACCAGUGGCGAAGGCGGCUUCCUGGACCAAUACUGACGCUGAGGUGCGAAAGCGUGGGGAGCAAACAGGAUUAGAAACCCCGGUAGUCC
Molecule: ribosomal RNA, 274 nt
Filed under: uncultured bacterium
Lineage: Bacteria
Description: partial 16S ribosomal RNA
Rfam family: Bacterial small subunit ribosomal RNA
Source: RNAcentral